CUUAUAAUUAUUUUGACACGUCUGCGUGUUUUUGCAUGUCACGGUUGUUCAUUCCUCGUGAGUGCUCAGUAGUAUUCCAUCUAUGAAUAUAUCACCAUGUAUGUAGUCGCCAGUUGAUUUAGGCCGCUCCCAGUCUUUCCUUAUUAGGACUAAAGCUGCUAGGAACAUCCCUGUACCUGUUUUCUCUUGGGUAAAUAUCGAAAUGGAAUGGCUUGAUUAUAAGCUCUGAAGAGCCCAGGACUCCAUAAUCUCACUAGGCUAUGACAUCUGCAGUCUUGAAACUCAAGGAGAUCAUGGCCAUUACUAAAAACCCAAUCUCACCAAGAUGUAUAAAGCACAUGAUGUCUCAGCCAAGAACCUACCAUGGUGGAGGAAAAAGAUGUUUCUCUCCUGCAAUGGUUGAUCACCAGUGAUCAUAGUGUAUGUGGGACCGAGGGGCACCGGCUCUGCCUCCCUGGUCGCUGUGACCACCACGUGGAUCCCAUCUGGACAGGACAGUGCUUGGUGAACCAGAAGCGCUUGCAGGAGCGUGAGCUCUGACCCAACCUUUCUUUUCCUAGGUGAGCACACGAGGGCCGUGGAGGCGACAGGCUGGGUGUUGUCGCCAGGCUCCUGGGGGACUAAGAUGAAAGCUCGUCCCUUGCCUUUGCCCCUGCAGUCACCUGCUCACCCAGGAUGCAUCGGACACUCUCUUGGCAUCCAGUACUACGAUGGCUCCUGGGAGAGGGGCACGGGGUUGGUGUGGGGGGACAGGGACAGGUUCUGGCGGAGGCCACAGAGUGCCGAGAUCUGCAUUCCGAAUCAGCAUUUCUAGGGGUUUAUCAAAAACCUGGAGCAAAUCACCUCAUUUCUCUGGGCCUCAGUUUUCCUUCACUGUCAAUGAAGAAGUUUGACCAAGAUGGACCCUAGGAAUCCUUCAAGCUCUAAAACUCUAUUUUUAUAAUAUUAUUAAAUCUCACUGGGGCAACAGCCUCUGUUGCAUUAACUGGGGAUUUGAAACCCUCAUUUGCUCUAGGGAUGCCUUAGUUGCUUUAAGCAUAUUACGACUUGUCGUUUC
Long non-coding RNA from Lemur catta (Ring-tailed lemur), 1057 nucleotides. RefSeq lists it as uncharacterized. Lineage: Eukaryota; Metazoa; Chordata; Mammalia; Primates; Lemuridae. The record is from RefSeq and is a predicted model, not a curated record. The transcript is spliced from 4 exons.